RNAcentral lists this long non-coding RNA (263 nucleotides) under Mytilus galloprovincialis (Mediterranean mussel). Lineage: Eukaryota; Metazoa; Mollusca; Bivalvia; Mytilida; Mytilidae. The record is from RNAcentral.
AAUUUCUUCAAAUAUUUUUUUAUGCCCCAUUUAUGGGCAUUAUGUUUUCUGGUCUGUGCGUCCGUUCGUCCGUCUGUUCGUUCGUCCGUUCGUCCGUCUGUCCCGCUUCAGGUUAAAGUUUUUGGUCGAGGUAGUUUUUGAUGAAGUUGGAGUCCAAUCAACUUGAAACUUAGUACACAUGUUCCUUAUGAUAUGAUCUUUCUAAUUUAAAUGCCAAAUUAGAGUUUUGACCCCAAUUUUACGGUUCACUGAUAGAAAAUGAU